AUUGAGAUUAAAAAUUAGAACUCUA
RNAcentral lists this non-coding RNA (25 nucleotides) under Cricetulus griseus (Chinese hamster). The record is from RNAcentral. Lineage: Eukaryota; Metazoa; Chordata; Mammalia; Rodentia; Cricetidae.